RNAcentral lists this long non-coding RNA (226 nucleotides) under Lathyrus oleraceus (garden pea). Its description in RNAcentral is "Pisum sativum (pea) long non-coding RNA (PSAT_LNC025517)". The record is from RNAcentral. Lineage: Eukaryota; Viridiplantae; Streptophyta; Magnoliopsida; Fabales; Fabaceae.
CUUGAACCAAAACAUCUUCCAAAGGAAGGAAAUAAGGCAAAGUUUCCAUACAAUACCAUGAAAGAGGGGAGACUUAUAGUCUCACUAACUAGAAUGCUUAUGCCUAUUAUGUCACAAAUUUAGCGCUAUGUUAAGCAAUCGUAAUUGGACUUAUGUAGAAGUCACAACUAUUUGAGGUCGGGCAAUAGACUUUUGGUGUUAAUGCAUGUUGGAGACAUAGUAUUAU